GGGCUGCAGUAUAUUGACUGUACAAAGGUAGCAUAAUCAUUAGUCAUUUAAUUGAUGACUUGUAUGAAGGAUUGGAUGAAAUAUAAACUGUCUCUUAAUUAUAUUUAGAAUUUAAUUUUUUAAUUAAAAAGUUAAAAUGAAUUAAAAAGACGAGAAGACCCUAUAGAGUUUUAUAAUUAAAUUAAUUGAGAUUUUUUGUAAGAUUAAAAUUAAAAUUAAUUUAUUUAUUUUGUUGGGGUGACAGAAAAAUAUGGAGAACUUUUUUUAUAAUAUUACAUAAAUAAGUGGUUAAAUGAUCCAAUAUUAUUGAUUAUAAGAAAAAAUUACCUUAGGGAUAACAGCGUAAUUUUUUUUUUUAGUUCAUAUAAAAAAAAAAGUUUGCGACCUCGAUGUUGGAUUAAGAUAAAAUUUAAAUGCAGAAGUU
This 424-nucleotide ribosomal RNA is filed under the name Sesamia calamistis. Its description in RNAcentral is "partial 16S ribosomal RNA". The record is from RNAcentral. Lineage: Eukaryota; Metazoa; Arthropoda; Insecta; Lepidoptera; Noctuidae.